Molecule: transfer RNA, 68 nt
Filed under: Marmota monax (woodchuck)
Lineage: Eukaryota; Metazoa; Chordata; Mammalia; Rodentia; Sciuridae
Description: tRNA.Ala
Source: RNAcentral
GGAUUGUGGUUCAGUGGUAGGGUGCUUGCCUAGCACAUGCAAGGGCCUGGGUUCGAACCUCAGCACCA